This 857-nucleotide unclassified non-coding RNA is filed under the name uncultured Prochlorococcus sp. RNAcentral describes it as "partial 16S-23S ribosomal RNA intergenic spacer; may also contain 16S ribosomal RNA and 23S ribosomal RNA". The stretch from base 353 to 425 matches the Rfam family "tRNA". Lineage: Bacteria; Bacillati; Cyanobacteriota; Cyanophyceae; Synechococcales; Prochlorococcaceae. The record is from RNAcentral.
UUGUGGAGGAGGACGCCGAAGGUGGGGCUAAUGACUGGGGUGAAGUCGUACAAGGUAGCCGUACCGGAAGGUGCGGCUGGAUCACCUCCUACAGGGAAACAGAAUUGAUCGUGAUGCUUGAGCUAAUUAUGCUUAGGCCAUGAUCCUGUCACCUUAGGUCGAUCGGUACCUCAGAUUAAUUGUUAAAGAAGCUCUGAAUAAUGAGUCCUUCUUUAACAAUCAAUUUCAGUUCCUAAACUUGUCUAGGUCACACCCAGCAAGGGUACUCCUGGGCCAUUAGCUCAGGUGGUUAGAGCGCACCCCUGAUAAGGGUGAGGUCCCUGGUUCAAGUCCAGGAUGGCCCAUCGGUAUUGGGGGUAUAGCUCAGUUGGUAGAGCGCCUGCUUUGCAAGCAGGAUGUCAGCGGUUCGAGUCCGCUUACCUCCACUGAAUAACCUCCUGACAACGAAGCCAAGGAGCCUAUUGUGUUGAUGUGAUUUAGACUUUGUUUUACCUGAAGAGGACCCCAACUUCCUAUCAUUCCGAAUUUUAAAAAGAAUAGGCUGAUAGGACGCUGGGCUCACUAUGGUUCGUAAGAAUCGUAGAUUUAGUUCAGUAGAACCUUGACAACUACAUAGGUAAGUCUGGAAAAAAUUAAGCAUCUCAUGGAUGCAUUAUUCCAAGAUAGAGUCAUUAAAGCUGUGAAAAUAGCUUUUAAUAGAUUCUAAACUUGUAAUCAUGCUUAUAUUCUUGAGUAAGAGCCGAGACUCUAUAGUUUUCUGAGCCUUUAAUUAGGUGUUAGAAAUUUUUAUGAUUGAUGCUUCAAUUAUAAAUGUGCAAAUAGCACAAAAACUAUAGAGAAUAAUGGUCAAGCUACAA